This 1966-nucleotide small RNA is filed under the name Pan troglodytes (chimpanzee). RNAcentral describes it as "processed transcript". The record is from RNAcentral. Lineage: Eukaryota; Metazoa; Chordata; Mammalia; Primates; Hominidae.
AGCUGCCCGCCUGCCCCGGAGAGCCAGGCGCUAACCAGCCGCUCUGCGCCCCGCGCCCUGCUUGCCCCCAUUAUCCAGCCUUGCCCCGGCGCCCUGACCUGACGCCCUGCUUCGUCGCCUCCUUUCUCUCCUAGGUGCUGGACCAGGGACUGAGCGUCCCCCGGAGAGGGUCCGGUGUGACCCCGACAAGAAGCAGAAAUGGGGAAGAAACUGGAUCUUUCCAAGCUCACUGAUGAAGAGGCCCAGCAUGUCUUGGAAGUUGUUCAACGAGAUUUUGACCUCCGAAGGAAAGAAGAGGAAAGGCUAGAGGGGUUGAAGGGCAAGAUUAAGAAGGAAAGCUCCAAGAGGGAGCUGCUUUCCGACACUGCCCAUCUGAACGAGACCCACUGCGCCCACUGCCUGCAGCCCUACCGGCUGCUUGUGAAUAGCAAAAGGCAGUGCCUGGAAUGUGGCCUCUUCACCUGCAAAAGCUGUGGCCGCGUCCACCCGGAGGAGCAGGGCUGGAUCUGUGACCCCUGCCAUCUGGCCAGAGUCGUGAAGAUCGGCUCACUGGAGUGGUACUAUGAGCAUGUGAAAGCCCGCUUCAAGAGGUUCGGAAGUGCCAAGGUCAUCCGGUCCCUCCACGGGCGGCUGCAGGGUGGAGCUGGGCCUGAACCGAUAUCUGAAGAGAGAAGUGGAGACAGCGACCAGACAGAUGAGGAUGGAGAACCUGACUCAGAGGCCCAGGCCCAGGCCCAGCCCUUUGGCAGCAAAAAAAAGCGCCUCCUCUCCGUCCACGACUUCGACUUCGAGGGAGACUCAGAUGACUCCACUCAGCCUCAAGGUCACUCCCUGCACCUGUCCUCAGUCCCUGAGGCCAGGGACAGCCCACAGUCCCUCACAGAUGAGUCCUGCUCGGAGAAGGCAGCCCCCCACAAGACUGAGGGCCUGGAGGAGGCUGACACUGGGGCCUCUGGGUGCCAAUCCCAUCCGGAAGAGCAGCCGACCAGCAUCUUGCCUUCUGGACACAGCACCCUGGCUGAGCUCUGCCCGCCUGGAGGCUCCCACAGGAUGGCCCUGGGGACUGCUGCUGCACUCGGGUCGAAUGUCAUCAGGAAUGAGCAGCUGCCCCUGCAGUACUUGGCCGAUGUGGACACCUCUGAUGAGGAAAGCAUCCGGGCUCACGUGAUGGCCUCCCACCAUUCCAAGCGGAGAGGCCGGGCGUCUUCUGAGAGUCAGGGUCUAGGCGCUGGAGUGCGCACGGAGGCCGAUGUGGAGGAGGAGGCCCUGAGGAGGAAGCUGGAGGAGCUGACCAGCAACGUCAGUGACCAGGGGACCUCGUCCGAGGAGGAGGAGGCCAAGGACGAAAAGGCAGAGCCCAACAGGGGCAAAUCAGUUGGGGCUCUCCCCCAGGCGGACCCGGAGGUGGGCACGGCUGCCCAUCAAACCAACAGACAGGAAAAAAGCCCCCAGGACCCUGGGGACCCCGUCCAGUACAACAGGACCACAGAUGAGGAGCUGUCAGAGCUGGAGGACAGAGUGGCAGUGACGGCCUCAGAAGUCCAGCAGGCAGAGAGCGAGGUUUCAGACAUCGAAUCCAGGAUUGCAGCCCUGAGGGCCGCAGGGCUCACGGUGAAGCCCUCGGGAAAGCCCCGGAGGAAGUCAAACCUCCCGGCUCUUUAUGAGGGGACUCUGAGCCUCUGCUCUGAGGAUCUGAAACACACACACACUGACAGUGUAAAAUCCAAAAGGAGCCGCCUGAAUCAUGUUGCCUCAUGUGGAAAUCCUUAGUCCGCCGCCACGUGAAGAUGGAUGUGACUAGAACAGAGGGCUCGGGAGGCUCACAUCAGAGGAGCUGCUCAUGUCAGGCCAACAUCCUCCUCUCCUGAUCCCAUUCAGGAAUCUUCAGACAAAACCACCCUGAUGAGGACAUUUGGCAAAAGAAUGAAAGAUGACCUUAGGAGAGUCCCAGAUAGGGUCAUGACGG